CCUACGGGAGGCAGCAGUGGGGAAUAUUGCACAAUGGGCGAAAGCCUGAUGCAGCAACGCCGCGUGAAGGAAGACGGUUUUCGGAUUGUAAACCUCUGUUCUUAGUGAAGAAUAGUGACGGUAACUAAGGGGCAAGCAACGGCGAACUACGUGCGAGCAGCCGCGGUAAUACGUAGGUGGCAAGCGUUGGCCGGAAUUACUGGGUGUAAGGGGAGCGUAGGCGGGAGGCCAAGUCAGCUGUGAAAACUACGGGCUUAACCUGUAGACUGCAGUUGAAACUGGCAUUCUUGAGUGAAGUAGGGGUGGGCGGAAUGCCUGGUGUAGCGGUGAAAUGCGGAGAUAUUCGGAGGAACACCGGUGGCGAAGGCAG
This 370-nucleotide ribosomal RNA is filed under the name uncultured bacterium. RNAcentral's name for it is "partial 16S ribosomal RNA". It matches the Rfam family "Bacterial small subunit ribosomal RNA", at positions 338 to 724 of the family's 1533-position model. The record is from RNAcentral.